UGGGGUUCCGCAGCCCCAUGCAGGCCACAGCUGCUCCAAGGAUUCCUUGCCAUCAGCCCCAUGCAGGGCGGCAGCUGCUCCCGGGGUUCCCUGACCCUUGCCACCUGGCCCUGCACAAGAGAAGGUAUAUUUAGGAAUCAUGACUGGAUCGACCCCUGAAAUGCCAGCUCAUUUGGAAAGGAAUAUAGCCGAUAGGAAAAUGAAUGGCAAAUAGUACACAAUUGCUGGACAAAGUAAAAGAAAAUACCAUAAAAAACUGAAAUUGCAGGAGGAAUUUAAGAUGAAAUAUCAGACUGUAGAGGAUGAAGCCAAGUGAGCAGAAACAAGAGAAUUCAAAUAAACAUUAAUUUAAAUGAAAAAGAAAAGGAA
Molecule: non-coding RNA, 369 nt
Organism: Pelodiscus sinensis (Chinese soft-shelled turtle)
Lineage: Eukaryota; Metazoa; Chordata; Testudines; Trionychidae
Source: RefSeq, a predicted model, not a curated record